UGAGGAAUAUUGGCCAAUGGACGCAAGUCUGAACCAGCCAAGUAGCGUGCAGGAUGACGGCCCUAUGGGUUGUAAACUGCUUUUAUAUGGGGAUAAAGUGGGGAACGUGUUCCCUUUUGCAGGUACCAUAUGAAUAAGGACCGGCUAAUUCCGUGCCAGCAGCCGCGGUAAUACGGAAGGUUCGGGCGUUAUCCGGCUUUAUUGGGUUUAAAGGGAGCGUAGGCCGUUUGGUAAGCGUGUUGUGAAAUGUAGGAGCUCAACUUCUAGAUUGCAGCGCGAACUGUCAGACUUGAGUGCGCACAACGUAGGCGGAAUUCAUGGUGUAGCGGUGAAAUGCUUAGAUAUCAUGAAGAACUCCGAUUGCGAAGGCAGCUUACGGGAGCGCAACUGACGCUGAAGCUCGAAGGUGCGGGUAUCGAACAGG
RNAcentral lists this ribosomal RNA (424 nucleotides) under Verrucomicrobiota bacterium. RNAcentral describes it as "Verrucomicrobia bacterium partial 16S ribosomal RNA". It matches the Rfam family "Bacterial small subunit ribosomal RNA", at positions 355 to 776 of the family's 1533-position model. Lineage: Bacteria; Pseudomonadati; Verrucomicrobiota. The record is from RNAcentral.